GAGAGAAUGGAGUGAGAAGGAAGAAUCAUAACGGGUCCAAGAAAGAUAUUCCUGUCUAAAACAAUGUGUACUUCACUAGCAAGAUCAAGAAUAUUUGAGGAUAUUCCUUUCGGACACGUAUGAGUUUGGACAAAAUGAACUGGGUCCAGGAAUACAGAAUGAAAAUAUUAUGCACUUCUGUACUUAGAAGAAGCCCAUGCAGUUUCCAGGCUCCGUUAUGGAGCAGAAAUGCCAUCAAAGCAGAGGUAGCCUGGUUGGUUGACGGGUGGCAAAGAGGAAAAGCAACUGAAGGCUUCACUCAGGUCUAUUCCUGACUCAUACAAACUGCUUCCCCGCACCAUGCCAACCAGCCAUCAAGAAAGCAACAUCUCCAAGAAAGUUUGCCUGGUGCCAACAUUCAGAUACCAACAAAACAUUUUUUUAAAAUUAUACAGGCAUUUAAGGACUUUAAAACCCUAUCUUGGCAUUAAAUUCUGAUUUCCAACCAUG
Anolis carolinensis (green anole) is the source of this 489-nucleotide long non-coding RNA. RefSeq lists it as uncharacterized. The record is from RefSeq and is a predicted model, not a curated record. The transcript is spliced from 3 exons. Lineage: Eukaryota; Metazoa; Chordata; Lepidosauria; Squamata; Anolidae.